Molecule: ribosomal RNA, 253 nt
Filed under: uncultured bacterium
Lineage: Bacteria
Description: partial 16S ribosomal RNA
Rfam family: Bacterial small subunit ribosomal RNA
Source: RNAcentral
UACGAAGGGUGCAAGCGUUACUCGGAAUUACUGGGCGUAAAGCGUGCGUAGGUGGUUUGUUAAGUCUGAUGUGAAAGCCCUGGGCUCAACCUGGGAACGGCAUUGGAAACUGGCUUACUAGAGUGCGGUAGAGGGGUGUGGAAUUCCCGGUGUAGCAGUGAAAUGUGUAGAUAUCGGGAGGAACAUCUGUGGCGAAGGCGACACCCUGGACCAGCACUGACACUGAGGCACGAAAGCGUGGGGAGCAAACAGG